This 549-nucleotide ribosomal RNA is filed under the name uncultured bacterium. Its description in RNAcentral is "bacterial SSU rRNA". It matches the Rfam family "Bacterial small subunit ribosomal RNA", at positions 355 to 896 of the family's 1533-position model. The record is from RNAcentral.
UGGGGAAUUUUGGACAAUGGGCGCAAGCCUGAUCCAGCCAUGCCGCGUGUCUGAAGAAGGCCUUCGGGUUGUAAAGGACUUUUGUCAGGGAAGAAAAGGACAGGGUUAAUACCUCUGUUUGAUGACGGUACCUGAAGAAUAAGCACCGGCUAACUACGUGCCAGCAGCCGCGGUAAUACGUAGGGUGCGAGCGUUAAUCGGAAUUACUGGGCGUAAAGCGAGCGCAGACGGUUACUUAAGCAGGAUGUGAAAUCCCCGGGCUCAACCCGGGAACUGCGUUCUGAACUGGGUGACUAGAGUGUGUCAGAGGGAGGUAGAAUUCCACGUGUAGCAGUGAAAUGCGUAGAGAUGUGGAGGAAUACCGAUGGCGAAGGCAGCCUCCUGGGAUAACACUGACGUUCAUGCUCGAAAGCGUGGGUAGCAAACAGGAUUAGAUACCCUGGUAGUCCACGCCCUAAACGAUGUCAAUUAGCUGUUGGGCAACUUGAUUGCUUAGCAGCGUAGCUAACGCGUGAAAUUGACCGCCUGGGGAGUACGGUCGCAAGAUUA